RNAcentral lists this ribosomal RNA (848 nucleotides) under Amblyomma sp. RNAcentral describes it as "partial 18S ribosomal RNA". Lineage: Eukaryota; Metazoa; Arthropoda; Arachnida; Ixodida; Ixodidae. The record is from RNAcentral.
UUAUGACUCGCGCUUACUGGGAAUUCCUCGUUCAAGGGGAACAAUUGCAAGCCCCUAUCCCAAUCACGAAGGAAGUUCCACGGGUUACCCAGUCUUUUCAGACAGGGAUAAAGACACGCUGCUUCCUUCAGUGUAGCGCGCGUGCGGCCCCGGACAUCUAAGGGCAUCACAGACCUGUUAUUGCUCUGUUUCGUGCGGCUAGGAGCCGCUUGUCCCUCUAAGAAGGUUGUAAGGUGCUGGGAACCCCGCACCUAUUUAAUAGGCUAGAGUCUCGUUCGUUAUCGGAAUUAACCAGACAAAUCGCUCCACCAACUAAGAACGGCCAUGCACCACCAUCCACCGAAUCAAGAAAGAGCUCUCAAUCUGUCAAUCCUCCCAGUGUCCGGGCCGGGUAAGUUUUCCCGUGUUGAGUCAAAUUAAGCCGCAGGCUCCACUCCUGGUGGUGCCCUUCCGUCAAUUCCUUUAAGUUUCAGCUUUGCAACCAUACUUCCCCCGGAACCCAAAUACUUUGGUUUCCCGGAAGCUGCCCGCCGAGUCAUUUGAGUAACUCAGGCGGAUCGCUGGUUGGCAUCGUUUAUGGUCAGAACUAGGGCGGUAUCUGAUCGCCUUCGAACCUCUGACUUUCGUUCUUGAUCAAAGAAAACAUUCUUGGCAAAUGCUUUCGCAGUAGUUCGUCUUGCGACGGUCCAAGAAUUUCACCUCUAGCGCCGCAAUACGAAUGCCCCCGUCUGUCCCUCUUAAUCAUUAGCCCGUAUUCCAAAAACCAACAGAACAGAAACGGGCUCUUGUUCUAUUAUUCCAUGCAAGUUUAUUCAGGCGACUCGCCUGCGUUGAGCACUCUAAUUUUU